This 497-nucleotide ribosomal RNA is filed under the name uncultured bacterium. Its description in RNAcentral is "partial 16S ribosomal RNA". It matches the Rfam family "Bacterial small subunit ribosomal RNA", at positions 28 to 507 of the family's 1533-position model. The record is from RNAcentral.
GAUGAACGCUGGCGGCGUGCCUAAUACAUGCAAGUCGAGCGAACAGACGAGGAGCUUGCUCCUCUGACGUUAGCGGCGGACGGGAGAGUAACACGUGGAUAACCUACCUAUAAGACUGGGAUAACUUCGGGAAACCGGAGCUAAUACCGGAUAAUAUAUUGAACCGCAUGGUUCAAUAGUGAAAGACGGUUUUGCUGUCACUUAUAGAUGGAUCCGCGCCGCAUUAGCUAGUUGGUAAGGUAACGGCUUACCGAGGCAACGAUGCGUAGCCGACCUGAGAGGGUGAUCGGCCACACUGGAACUGAGACACGGUCCAGACUCCUACGGGAGGCAGCAGUAGGGAAUCUUCCGCAAUGGGCGAAAGCCUGACGGAGCAACGCCGCGUGAGUGAUGAAGGUCUUCGGAUCGUAAAACUCUGUUAUUAGGGAAGAACAAAUGUGUAAGUAACUAUGCACGUCUUGACGGUACCUAAUCAGAAAGCCACGGCUAACUACGUG